CACGUAGGGUGCGAGCGUUGUCCGGAAUUAUUGGGCGUAAAGAGCUCGUAGGCGGUCUGUCACGUCGGCUGUGAAAACCCGAGGCUCAACCUCGGGCCUGCAGUCGAUACGGGCAAACUAGAGUGUUGCAGGGGAGACUGGAAUUCCUGGUGUAGCGGUGAAAUGCGCAGAUAUCAGGAGGAACACCGGUGGCGAAGGCGGGUCUCUGGGCAACAACUGACGCUGAGGAGCGAAAGCGUGGGGAGCGAACAGG
RNAcentral lists this ribosomal RNA (253 nucleotides) under uncultured bacterium. Its description in RNAcentral is "partial 16S ribosomal RNA". It matches the Rfam family "Bacterial small subunit ribosomal RNA", at positions 524 to 776 of the family's 1533-position model. The record is from RNAcentral.